This 21-nucleotide microRNA is filed under the name Picea abies (Norway spruce). RNAcentral's name for it is "pab-miR4414". Lineage: Eukaryota; Viridiplantae; Streptophyta; Pinopsida; Pinales; Pinaceae. The record is from miRBase by way of RNAcentral.
UGCUGCCGGCUCAUUCAUUCA